RNAcentral lists this ribosomal RNA (483 nucleotides) under uncultured bacterium. RNAcentral's name for it is "partial 16S ribosomal RNA". It matches the Rfam family "Bacterial small subunit ribosomal RNA", at positions 29 to 507 of the family's 1533-position model. The record is from RNAcentral.
UUGAACGCUGGCGGCAUGCUUUACCCAUGCCAGUCGCACGGCAGCGCGGGCUUCGGCCUGGCGGCGAGUGGCGAACGGGUGAGUAAUGCAUCGGAACGUGCCCAGUAGUGGGGGAUAGCCCGGCGAAAGCCGGAUUAAUACCGCAUACGACCUGAGGGUGAAAGCGGGGGACCGAAAGGCCUCGCGCUAUUGGAGCGGCCGAUGUCGGAUUAGCUAGUUGGUGGGGUAAAGGCUUACCAAGGCGACGAUCCGUAGCUGGUCUGAGAGGACGACCAGCCACACUGGGACUGAGACACGGCCCAGACUCCUACGGGAGGCAGCAGUGGGGAAUUUUGGACAAUGGGGGCAACCCUGAUCCAGCCAUGCCGCGUGCGGGAAGAAGGCCUUCGGGUUGUAAACCGCUUUUGUUCGGGAAGAAAUCCUCUGGGCUAAUACCCCGGGGGGAUGACGGUACCGGAAGAAUAAGCACCGGCUAACUACGCG